RNAcentral lists this ribosomal RNA (540 nucleotides) under Bacteroidetes bacterium MA051. Its description in RNAcentral is "bacterial SSU rRNA". It matches the Rfam family "Bacterial small subunit ribosomal RNA", at positions 366 to 908 of the family's 1533-position model. Lineage: Bacteria; Pseudomonadati; Bacteroidota. The record is from RNAcentral.
AAGGUAUGGACGCAGUCUGACCAGCCAUGCCGCGUGGAGGAUGAAGGUCCUCUGGAUUGUAAACUUCUUUUAUCUGGGACGAAAAAAGGGAAUUCUUUCUCGUCUGACGGUACCAGAUGAAUAAGCACCGGCUAACUCCGUGCCAGCAGCCGCGGUAAUACGGAGGGUGCAAGCGUUAUCCGGAUUCACUGGGUUUAAAGGGUGCGUAGGCGGGUAUGUAAGUCCGUGGUGAAAUCUCCGAGCUUAACUCGGAAACUGCCAUGGGUACUGCGUAUCUUGAAUGUUGUGGAGGUGAGCGGAAUAUGUCAUGUAGCGGUGAAAUGCUUAGAUAUGACAUAGAACACCAAUUGCGAAGGCAGCUCACUACACAAAUAUUGACGCUGAGGCACGAAAGCGUGGGGAUCAAACAGGAUUAGAUACCCUGGUAGUCCACGCCCUAAACGAUGAUUACUCGACAUACGCGAUACACAGUGUGUGUCUGAGCGAAAGCAUUAAGUAAUCCACCUGGGAAGUACGACCGCAAGGUUGAAACUCAAGGAA